RNAcentral lists this long non-coding RNA (199 nucleotides) under Elaeis guineensis (African oil palm). RNAcentral's name for it is "long non-coding RNA (EGUI_LNC078369)". Lineage: Eukaryota; Viridiplantae; Streptophyta; Magnoliopsida; Arecales; Arecaceae. The record is from RNAcentral.
ACCUGUAUGCCAUACCAGUGUCUCCACACUCUUUGGUUAAGAGGACAACCAACCCAUAUGGCCUACAGCGACCUAUGCUCGAUAGAAGCUGUCGUCCUUAUUAACAGCCUAUCAUUUGGUCGUGAACAGUUUUAAGUACUAAUCGAUAAAUUCUCUCUUUAUCGAAUCUAAAUAGUCCUAAGGACUUUAUCAUAACAAC